Molecule: ribosomal RNA, 948 nt
Filed under: uncultured soil bacterium
Lineage: Bacteria
Description: bacterial SSU rRNA
Rfam family: Bacterial small subunit ribosomal RNA
Source: RNAcentral
AGUCGAACGGCAGCACGGGAGCUUGCUCUUGGUGGCGAGUGGCGAACGGGUGAGUAAUGCGUCGGAACGUACCGAGUAAUGGGGGAUAACGCAGCGAAAGUUGUGCUAAUACCGCAUACGCCCUGAGGGGGAAAGUGGGGGAUCGCAAGACCUCACGUUAUUCGAGCGGCCGACGUCUGAUUAGCUCGUUGGUGAGGUAAUGGCUCACCAAGGCGACGAUCAGUAGCGGGUCUGAGAGGAUGAUCCGCCACACUGGAACUGAGACACGGUCCAGACUCCUACGGGAGGCAGCAGUGGGGAAUUUUGGACAAUGGGGGCAACCCUGAUCCAGCCAUUCCGCGUGAGUGAAGAAGGCCUUCGGGUUGUAAAGCUCUUUCAGCCGGAACGAAACGGUACGCCUUAAUACGGUGUGCUAAUGACGGUACCGGCAGAAGAAGCACCGGCUAACUACGUGCCAGCAGCCGCGGUAAUACGUAGGGUGCGAGCGUUAAUCGGAAUUACUGGGCGUAAAGCGUGCGCAGGCGGAUUGUUAAGCAAGAUGUGAAAUCCCCGGGCUUAACCUGGGAAUGGCAUUUUGAACUGGCAGUCUAGAGUGUGUCAGAGGGGGGUGGAAUUCCACGUGUAGCAGUGAAAUGCGUAGAGAUGUGGAGGAACACCGAUGGCGAAGGCAGCCCCCUGGGAUAACACUGACGCUCAUGUACGAAAGCGUGGGUAGCAAACAGGAUUAGAUACCCUGGUAGUCCACGCCCUAAACGAUGUCAACUGGUUGUUGGGGGAGUGAAAUCCCUUAGUAACGAAGCUAACGCGUGAAGUUGACCGCCUGGGGAGUACGGUCGCAAGAUUAAAACUCAAAGGAAUUGACGGGGACCCGCACAAGCGGUGGAUGAUGUGGAUUAAUUCGAUGCAACGCGAAAAACCUUACCUACCCUUGACAUGUCCAGAACCCUG